RNAcentral lists this ribosomal RNA (253 nucleotides) under uncultured bacterium. RNAcentral describes it as "partial 16S ribosomal RNA". It matches the Rfam family "Bacterial small subunit ribosomal RNA", at positions 524 to 776 of the family's 1533-position model. The record is from RNAcentral.
UACGGAGGAUGCAAGCGUUAUCCGGAAUGAUUGGGCGUAAAGCGUCCGCAGGUGGCAAUGUAAGCCUGCUGUUAAAGAGUCUAGCUCAACUAGAUAAAAGCAGUGGAAACUACAUAGCUAGAGUACGUUCGGGGCAGAGGGAAUUCCUGGUGUAGCGGUGAAAUGCGUAGAGAUCAGGAAGAACACCGGUGGCGAAGGCGCUCUGCUAGGCCGUAACUGACACUGAGGGACGAAAGCUAGGGGAGCGAAUGGG